Molecule: ribosomal RNA, 367 nt
Filed under: uncultured organism
Description: bacterial SSU rRNA
Rfam family: Bacterial small subunit ribosomal RNA
Source: RNAcentral
CGUAGGUGGCAAGCGUUGUCCGGAUUUAUUGGGUUUAAAGGGUGCGUAGGAGGCUUUGUAAGUCAGUGGUGAAAUACUCCAGCUCAACUGGGGAGGUGCCAUUGAUACUGCAGAGCUAGAGUACUGAUGAGGUAGGCGGAAUGGACGGUGUAGCGGUGAAAUGCUUAGAUAUCGUCCAGAACACCGAUAGCGAAGGCAGCUUACUAAGAGUAACUGACGCUGAGGCACGAAAGUGUGGGGAUCAAACAGGAUUAGAUACCCUGGUAGUCCACACUGUAAACGUUGAUCACUAGAUGUUGGCGAUACACUGCCAGCGUUCCAGCAAAAGCGAUAAGUGAUCCACCUGGGGAGUACGCCCGCAAGGGUG